CCGCCUUCAAGAUUAUAGAAAAUCAAUUAUUCUAUGAAAAAGAAAGAAAAGUUAUACUGACAGAACAUGAACAAAAAAAAUAAUUAAAACAAUGCAUGAGGGGGGUGUAUCUACAGUUGCAGGUAUUGCUAUGGGAGGGCAUCUGGGGAUUAAUAAAACUAAUCAAAUAAUAGCUGAAAACUUUUAUUGGUUGGGGAGCAAUAAAAGUGUUAGAGAGUUUAUCAAAUUCUGUGAGGUUUGUCAAAAAUCAAGCAGUCGUUUUGAUAAAACCUCAAAUGUUUUGCACAAUAAUAAAGUUGUG
Gordionus sp. m RMFG-2023 is the source of this 301-nucleotide long non-coding RNA. RefSeq lists it as uncharacterized. Lineage: Eukaryota; Metazoa; Nematomorpha; Gordioida; Chordodea; Parachordodidae. The record is from RefSeq and is a predicted model, not a curated record. The transcript is spliced from 3 exons.